This is a long non-coding RNA of Canis lupus familiaris (dog), 663 nucleotides long. RefSeq lists it as uncharacterized. The record is from RefSeq and is a predicted model, not a curated record. Lineage: Eukaryota; Metazoa; Chordata; Mammalia; Carnivora; Canidae. The transcript is spliced from 2 exons.
UCCAUAAAUACAUUUAAAUUGAAUCAUUAUGACUUUUUUUUUAAUGUUAAUUCUAUAGUCUGAAAAAAGAUCAACUUUAUUUCUCUCAUUUGGAGAGUAUUUUCAGAUGGCUGUUAAAAGGUGUUUCCCUCCCCCAUCCCCCCUUUCACUCAACUGCUGGAGAGUAACUAGAAACAAAUCUGUUGCUUGGAAUAAAUGUUCAGUCCAUAUGUUAUCUUUCAUGGUAGCUGAUGGAAGUGCGAAAUCCUCCUCAGUGAAUGCUGCUUGCGGUCUGGCCCUGCCCCCACCACCAUAUGUAACACAUUUAGGAGUGGGGAGAGCACUUCCUUCGUCAUUUGACUCUGUUGCUUGCGUUUUUCCUUGAGUAACAUAGAAAAUUGAAAGAGAAUCAGCGGUACCAGUACAAAGAGUGGACAGACCAACUACGCUGUUCCAAAAGGCAUUAAAGAGCUGUGAUGAGCAAAGAAAGUAAAAAGGAAAAGACAGAGAUUAAGCACAUUCUUCAAAUCUCUGCACAUUAGGAAAUGGAAGAAUCAUCCUGGAGUCUGGAAACAGACCUGGGCUCGUUCCCAGCACCAUCAUCGACCUGUCUCCAGAGUGAACACAGCUCUCCUGACAUUGGUUCUAUAGGACCCAAUUUUGGACUUCUGACCUCCAGAAAUG